CUGCUGCCUCCCGUAGGAGUUUGGUCCGUGUCUCAGUACCAAUGUGGGGGGGUUGACCUCUCAGUCCCCCUAUGUAUCGUCGCCUUGGUGAGCCGUUACCUCACCAACUAGCUAAUACAACGCAUGUCCAUCUCUGACCACCUGAGUUUUCAACCACCGAGGAUGCCUCCGGUGAUGUUAUGGGGUAUUAGUACCAAUUUCUCGAUGUUAUCCCCCUGUCAAAGGUAGGUUACAUACGCGUUACGCACCCGUCCGCCGGUCGCCGGCA
RNAcentral lists this ribosomal RNA (268 nucleotides) under uncultured bacterium. RNAcentral describes it as "partial 16S ribosomal RNA". The record is from RNAcentral.